GUAGGUGGCAAGCGUUGUCCGGAAUUAUUGGGCGUAAAGCGCGCGCAGGUGGUUCUUUAAGUCUGAUGUGAAAGCCCCCGGCUCAACCGGGGAGGGUCAUUGGAAACUGGGGAACUUGAGUGCAGGAGAGGAAAGUGGAAUUCCACGUGUAGCGGUGAAAUGCGUAGAUAUGUGGAGGAACACCAGUGACGAAGGCGACUUUCUGGCCUGUAACUGACACUGAGGCGCGAAAGCGUGGGGAGCAAACAGGGAUUAGAUACCCUGGUAGUCCACGCCGUAAACGAUGAGUGCUAAGUGUUGGGGGGGUUUCCCGCCCCUCAGUGCUGCAGCUAACGCAUUAAGCACUCCGCCUGGGGAUACGGUCGCAAGACUG
Molecule: ribosomal RNA, 373 nt
Filed under: uncultured organism
Description: partial 16S ribosomal RNA
Rfam family: Bacterial small subunit ribosomal RNA
Source: RNAcentral